AUUGAACGCUGGCGGCAUGCCUUACACAUGCAAGUCGAACGGCAGCACGGGUGCUUGCACCUGGUGGCGAGUGGCGAACGGGUGAGUAAUACAUCGGAACAUGUCCUGUAGUGGGGGAUAGCCCGGCGAAAGCCGGAUUAAUACCGCAUACGAUCUACGGAUGAAAGCGGGGGACCUUCGGGCCUCGCGCUAUCGGGUUGGCCGAUGGCUGAUUAGCUAGUUGGUGGGGUAAAGGCCUACCAAGGCGACGAUCAGUAGCUGGUCUGAGAGGACGACCAGCCACACUGGGACUGAGACACGGCCCAGACUCCUACGGGAGGCAGCAGUGGGGAAUUUUGGACAAUGGGCGAAAGCCUGAUCCAGCAAUGCCGCGUGUGUGAAGAAGGCCUUCGGGUUGUAAAGCACUUUUGUCCGGAAAGAAAUCCUUGGCCCUAAUACGGGCGGGGGAUGACGGUACCGGAAGAAUAAGCACCGGCUAACUACGUG
This 486-nucleotide ribosomal RNA is filed under the name uncultured bacterium. RNAcentral describes it as "partial 16S ribosomal RNA". It matches the Rfam family "Bacterial small subunit ribosomal RNA", at positions 30 to 507 of the family's 1533-position model. The record is from RNAcentral.